Molecule: ribosomal RNA, 2495 nt
Filed under: human gut metagenome
Description: Bacterial large subunit ribosomal RNA
Rfam family: Bacterial large subunit ribosomal RNA
Source: RNAcentral
AAACAAUCAAGGGCAAUUGGUGGAUGCCUUGGCGACACAUGGCGAAGAAGGACGUGGCAAGCUGCGAAAAGCCCCGGUGAGAUGCAAGCAAUCUUUGACCCGGGGGUUUCCGAAUGGGGAAACCCGGUAUGUUAACGGCAUACCACUUCGGGAUGAAUAUAUAGUCCCGAUAGAGCGAUACCCGCUGAAGUGAAACAUCUCAGUAAGCGGAGGAAAAGAAAGCGAAUGCGAUUCCCUGAGUAGUGGCGAGCGAAAGGGGAGCAGUCUAAACCGGAGGGAUUUAUCCUUCCGGGGUGUGGACUCCGAUGUGGGACUGGGACGGAUAGACGAACGGCAUGGAAAGGCCGGCCAUAGAGGGUGACAGCCCCUUAGUCGAAAUCCCGAACAGCCUUAGGAGUAUCCCGAGUAGCACCGGACACGUGAAACCUGGUGUGAAUGAGCGCCGACCACGGCGUAAGACUAAAUACACGGUGUCGACCGAUAGUGAACUAGUACCGUGAGGGAAAGGUGAAAAGGACCCCUGUUAGGGGAGUUAAAAGUACCUGAAACCAAUUGCCUACAAGCGGUCGGAGCCUCUAUAUGGGGUGACGGCGUACCUUUUGUAUAAUGGGCCUAGGAGUCUAUAUCAGUUGCAAGCUUAAGCGUUUACGACGCGGAGGCGCAGCGAAAGCGAGUCUGAAUAGGGCGACAAGUAUCUGGUAUAGCACCCGAAGCGUAGGCGAUCUAGCCAUGGCCAGGUUGAAGCAACGGUAAAACGUUGUGAAGGACCGAACCCAUUAACCUUGAGAAGUUACGGGAUGAGCUGUGGUUAGGAGUGAAAGGCUAAUCAAGCCACGUAAUAGCUGGUUCUCUCCGAAAUAUAUUUAGGUAUAGCGUCCAAUGCUUAUUACCGGGGGUAAAGCACUGAAAAGGCUAGGGCUCACACCAGAGUACCGAACCUUAUCAAACUCUGAAUACCGGUGAGUGAAGUUGGGCAGUCAGUCUGUGGGGGAUAAGCUUCAUAGGCGAGAGGGAAACAUCCCAGACCAUCAAAUAAGGUCCCUAAGACAAUGCUAAGUGGUAAGAAGGAGGUGAAUUUUCUUAGACAAUGGGGAUGUUGGCUUAGAGGCAGCCAUCAUUUAAAAAGUGCGUAAUAGCUUACCCAUCGAGAGAAUUUGCGCCGAAAAUGAUCGGGACUAAAGCAUUGCACCGAAUUUGUGGAACCAGCAAUGGUUGGUAGGAGAGCGUUCCAACGGCAUCGAAGCGGGAAAGGAAUUGACCGUGGAGCUUUUGGAAGUGAUAAUCUAGGCAUGAGUAACGAUAAGUAUGGUCAAAAUCCAUACCGCCGUAAGGAUAAGGUUUCCUGGGGAAGGUUCGUCCGCCCAGGGUUAGUCGGGAGCUAAGGCGAGGCCGUAAGGAGUAGUCGAUGCACAGCGGGUUAAUAUUCCCGCACCGGCUUAUAGGUGUCUGACCCGUAUAUUGACAGAAGCACGGAUGAGAGUGGGGUGUUGAACGUCCCUUUCGCGCAAGCGGACCUUGAGGCUACGGCCGAGGGGGAUUCUUAAAAGUGAUUCUCGGGAAAAUUUAUACGGUUAAUCUAUAGGUCGCCCGUACCGCAAACCGACACAGGUAUCCGGGAUGAGUAUUCUAAGGCGCGUGAGUUAAAUCUCUCUAAGGAACUCGGCAAAAUUGCCCUGUAUCUUCGGUAGAAGGGGUGCCGCAGCGAUGCGGUCACAGUAAAGAGAUCCAACCGACUGUUUAUCAAAAACACAGCUCUCUGCAAAGUCGCAAGACGACGUAUAGGGAGUGACAUGUGACCAAUGCGGAAAGGUGAAAGCUGGUUGUGCAAGCUUCUGGUCUAAGCCCCCGUGAAUGUCGGCCGUAACUAUAACGGUCCUAAGGUAGCGAAAUUCCUUGUCGGGUAAGUUCCGACCUGCACGAAUCAUGUAACGAGUUGGAUGCUGUCUCAGAGAGAUGCUCAGUGAAAUUGUAGUCGCGGUGAAGAUGCCGCGUACCCGCAGAAGGACGGAAAGACCCUAUGAACCUUUACUAUAACCUGAUAUUGUCAUUUGAUUUUCAAUACGUAGCAUAGGCGGGAGGCUUUGAAGCUUCACUCCAGGGUGAGGCAGAGCCGCAAUGUGAAAUACCGCUUUUUGUCUGUUAGAUGUCUAACCUUGACCCGUAAGCCGGGCUUGGGACAGUGUUAGGGGGUUAGUUUGACUGGGGCGGUCUCCUCCCAAAAUGUAACGGAGGACUGCGAUGGUUCCCUCAGACCGGUUGGCAAUCGGUCGGCGAGGAUAUGGCUAGAAGGGAGCUUAACUGUGAGACAUACAAGUCGAGCAGAUGGGAAACCAGGCCCAAGUGAUCCGGCAGUGGCUCGUGGGAGCGCUGUCGCUUAAGGGAUAAAAGGUACUCUAGGGAUAACAGGCUGAUUUCACCCAAGCGUUCAUAGCGACGGUGAAGUUUGGCACCUCGAUGUCGGCUCAUCACAUCCUGGGGCUGGAGAAGGUCCCAAG